Molecule: long non-coding RNA, 329 nt
Filed under: Pogona vitticeps (central bearded dragon)
Lineage: Eukaryota; Metazoa; Chordata; Lepidosauria; Squamata; Agamidae
Description: lncRNA (ENSPVIG00000001628.1)
Source: RNAcentral
UUGCCCGGGCGGCUGUCACUCAGCGGCAGAGAGGCUGGCGAUUGGCGCCGGGCUUGGUUACGCAUUUGCCUCGCGCUCACAUACAGGGGUAGGGCAGUAGAAAGGUGAUCAAUCUUCAUCAGGCUACAUUUCCAAUCACCUAAACAACCGGGCGAGACGGCGACCGCGACAAGAGUGCCGUGAGAGGCUGUCCUGCCCCUGGGAUUUCUUUCGCUCACCUCCAUUGGAAGAAUCGAUCUUCUGAAAUAAAACACACCAGGCAAAUAUCCAGGAAUUUAAAGAGACGUUGGCGGAAAAAAGAAAACCAGUUGUGUGCGGACCAUUUGGGG